UACGGGGAGGGCAAGCGUUGUUCGGAAUUACUGGGCGUAAAGGGCUUGUAGGCGGCCAACUAAGUCAUACGUGAAAUCCCUCGGCUUAACCGGGGAACUGCGUCUGAUACUGGAUGGCUUGAGAUUGGGAGAGGGAUGCGGAAUUCCAGGUGUAGCGGUGAAAUGCGUAGAUAUCUGGAGGAACACCGGUGGCGAAGGCGGCAUCCUGGACCGGUAUUGACGCUGAGGCACGAAAGCGUGGGGAGCAAACAGG
This 253-nucleotide ribosomal RNA is filed under the name uncultured bacterium. RNAcentral's name for it is "partial 16S ribosomal RNA". It matches the Rfam family "Bacterial small subunit ribosomal RNA", at positions 524 to 776 of the family's 1533-position model. The record is from RNAcentral.